GUAGCAAUGAUAGAUGCUAUGUCCCUUCAAAAUAAGAUCCAAGACUGUUUGGGAAUCCGAAUAACACAAGAUGCUCGAAAAACCCAAGUCCCUCGCAAUCUUCAAGCCAUGGUAAAUUGCCAUAAGUUCUGCAAAAGUAUUGUCCUUUAAGCCCAAGUAGCCACUGAAACCAAUGAUCCAGCUACCAUCGCUUCUACGGAUUAAACCUCC
Molecule: long non-coding RNA, 210 nt
Filed under: Trifolium pratense (red clover)
Lineage: Eukaryota; Viridiplantae; Streptophyta; Magnoliopsida; Fabales; Fabaceae
Description: long non-coding RNA (TPRA_LNC011741)
Source: RNAcentral